UUAAGCGACUAAGCGUACACGGUGGAUGCCCUGGCAGUCAGAGGCGAUGAAGGACGUGCUAAUCUGCGAAAAGCGCCGGCGAGGUGAUAUGAACCUUUGACCCGGCGAUGUCCGAAUGGGGAAACCCAGUGUGUUCCGACACACUAUCGUUAACUGAAUACAUAGGUUAACGAGGCGAACCGGGGGAACUGAAACAUCUAAGUACCCCGAGGAAAAGAAAUCAACCGAGAUUCCCCCAGUAGCGGCGAGCGAACGGGGAGCAGCCCAGAGUCUGAAUCAGCUUGUGUGUUAGUGGAAGCGUCUGGAAAGUCGCACGGUACAGGGUGACAGUCCCGUACACGAAAGCACACAGGUUGUGAACUCGAAGAGUAGGGCGGGACACGUGGUAUCCUGUCUGAAUAUGGGGGGACCAUCCUCCAAGGCUAAAUACUCCUGACUGACCGAUAGUGAACCAGUACCGUGAGGGAAAGGCGAAAAGAACCCCGGCGAGGGGAGUGAAAAAGAACCUGAAACCGUGUACGUACAAGCAGUGGGAGCCUCUUUUAUGGGGUGACUGCGUACCUUUUGUAUAAUGGGUCAGCGACUUAUAUUCUGUAGCAAGGUUAACCGUAUAGGGGAGCCGAAGGGAAACCGAGUCUUAACUGGGCGUUAAGUUGCAGGGUAUAGACCCGAAACCCGGUGAUCUAGCCAUGGGCAGGUUGAAGGUUGGGUAACACUAACUGGAGGACCGAACCGACUAAUGUUGAAAAAUUAGCGGAUGACUUGUGGCUGGGGGUGAAAGGCCAAUCAAACCGGGAGAUAGCUGGUUCUCCCCGAAAGCUAUUUAGGUAGCGCCUCGUGAACUCAUCUUCGGGGGUAGAGCACUGUUUCGGCUAGGGGGCCAUCCCGGCUUACCAACCCGAUGCAAACUACGAAUACCGAAGAAUGUUAUCACGGGAGACACACGGCGGGUGCUAACGUCCGUCGUGAAGAGGGAAACAACCCAGACCGCCAGCUAAGGUCCCAAAGUCAUGGUUAAGUGGGAAACGAUGUGGGAAGGCACAGACAGCCAGGAUGUUGGCUUAGAAGCAGCCAUCAUUUAAAGAAAGCGUAAUAGCUCACUGGUCGAGUCGGCCUGCGCGGAAGAUGUAACGGGGCUAAACCAUGCACCGAAGCUGCGGCAGCGACACUAUGUGUUGUUGGGUAGGGGAGCGUUCUGUAAGCCGUUGAAGGUGUCCUGUGAGGGAUGCUGGAGGUAUCAGAAGUGCGAAUGCUGACAUAAGUAACGAUAAAGCGGGUGAAAAGCCCGCUCGCCGGAAGACCAAGGGUUCCUGUCCAACGUUAAUCGGGGCAGGGUGAGUCGACCCCUAAGGCGAGGCCGAAAGGCGUAGUCGAUGGGAAACAGGUUAAUAUUCCUGUACUUGGUGUUACUGCGAAGGGGGGACGGAGAAGGCUAUGUUAGCCGGGCGACGGUUGUCCCGGUUUAAGCAUGUAGGCGGAGGUUCCAGGUAAAUCCGGUUCCUUGUUAACGCUGAGGUGUGAUGACGAGGCACUACGGUGCUGAAGUAACAAAUGCCCUGCUUCCAGGAAAAGCCUCUAAGCAUCAGGUAACAUCAAAUCGUACCCCAAACCGACACAGGUGGUCAGGUAGAGAAUACCAAGGCGCUUGAGAGAACUCGGGUGAAGGAACUAGGCAAAAUGGUGCCGUAACUUCGGGAGAAGGCACGCUGAUAUGUAGGUGAAGUCCCUGCGGAUGGAGCUGAAAUCAGUCGAAGAUACCAGCUGGCUGCAACUGUUUAUUAAAAACACAGCACUGUGCAAACACGAAAGUGGACGUAUACGGUGUGACGCCUGCCCGGUGCCGGAAGGUUAAUUGAUGGGGUUAGCGGUAACGCGAAGCUCUUGAUCGAAGCCCCGGUAAACGGCGGCCGUAACUAUAACGGUCCUAAGGUAGCGAAAUUCCUUGUCGGGUAAGUUCCGACCUGCACGAAUGGCGUAAUGAUGGCCAGGCUGUCUCCACCCGAGACUCAGUGAAAUUGAACUCGCUGUGAAGAUGCAGUGUACCCGCGGCAAGACGGAAAGACCCCGUGAACCUUUACUAUAGCUUGACACUGAACACUGGUCCUUGAUGUGUAGGAUAGGUGGGAGGCUUUGAAGCGUGGACGCCAGUCUGCGUGGAGCCAACCUUGAAAUACCACCCUUUAAUGGCUGGUGUUCUAACGUAGACCCGUGAUCCGGGUUGCGGACAGUGUCUGGUGGGUAGUUUGACUGGGGCGGUCUCCUCCCAAAGAGUAACGGAGGAGCACGAAGGUUAGCUAAUCCUGGUCGGACAUCAGGAGGUUAGUGCAAUGGCAUAAGCUAGCUUGACUGCGAGAGUGACGGCUCGAGCAGGUGCGAAAGCAGGUCAUAGUGAUCCGGUGGUUCUGAAUGGAAGGGCCAUCGCUCAACGGAUAAAAGGUACUCCGGGGAUAACAGGCUGAUACCGCCCAAGAGUUCAUAUCGACGGCGGUGUUUGGCACCUCGAUGUCGGCUCAUCACAUCCUGGGGCUGAAGUAGGUCCCAAGGGUAUGGCUGUUCGCCAUUUAAAGUGGUACGCGAGCUGGGUUUAGAACGUCGUGAGACAGUUCGGUCCCUAUCUGCCGUGGGCGCUGGAGAAUUGAGGGGGGCUGCUCCUAGUACGAGAGGACCGGAGUGGACGCAUCACUGGUGUUCGGGUUGUCAUGCCAAUGGCACUGCCCGGUAGCUAAAUGCGGAAGAGAUAAGUGCUGAAAGCAUCUAAGCACGAAACUUGCCCCGAGAUGAGUUCUCCCUGAGACUUUAAGUCUCCUGAAGGAACGUUGAAGACUACGACGUUGAUAGGUCGGGUGUGUAAGCGCAGCGAUGCGUUGAGCUAACCGAUACUAAUGAACCGUGAGGCUUAACCUU
Molecule: ribosomal RNA, 2904 nt
Filed under: Enterobacter sp. BIDMC 26
Lineage: Bacteria; Pseudomonadati; Pseudomonadota; Gammaproteobacteria; Enterobacterales; Enterobacteriaceae
Description: bacterial LSU rRNA
Rfam family: Bacterial large subunit ribosomal RNA
Source: RNAcentral